AGCUCCAGUAGCGUAUAUUAACGUUGUUGCAGUUAAAAAGCUCGUAGUUGGAUUUCUGGUGAGAUUGACCCGGCCCCGUCCGAUAGGAUGUGAGUGCGGGUGUCUUUCUGCCAUCCUUCUAGAGAACGGUUCUGCCCUUCAUUGGGUCGGUGCCGCUAUCUAGAUCUUUUACUUUGAAAAAUUAGAGUGUUUAAAGCAGGCAUUGCAUUGAAUACAUUAGCAUGGAAUAAUAAUAUAGGACUUCGGUCUCUAUUUUGUUGGUUUCUAGAACUGAAGUAAUGAUUGAUAGGGAUAGUUGGGGGUNCUAGUAUUCAGCGGCCAGAGGUGAAAUUCUUGGAUUCGCUGAAGACUAACUUAUGCGAAAGCAUUCACCAAGGAUGUCUUCU
This 386-nucleotide ribosomal RNA is filed under the name uncultured eukaryote. Its description in RNAcentral is "SSU rRNA". It matches the Rfam family "Eukaryotic small subunit ribosomal RNA", at positions 587 to 972 of the family's 1831-position model. The record is from RNAcentral.